RNAcentral lists this ribosomal RNA (327 nucleotides) under uncultured eukaryote. Its description in RNAcentral is "partial 18S ribosomal RNA". It matches the Rfam family "Eukaryotic small subunit ribosomal RNA", at positions 1470 to 1796 of the family's 1831-position model. The record is from RNAcentral.
CCCUUAGAUGUUCUGGGCUGCACGCGCGCUACACUGAUUCAUGCAACGAGUUUUGUCCUUGGCUGAAAGGCCUGGGUAAUCUUUGAACGUGAAUCGUGCUGGGGAUAGAUGAUUGCAAUUAUUCAUCUUCAACGAGGAAUUCCUAGUAAACGCAAGUCAUCAGCUUGCAUUGAUUACGUCCCUGCCCUUUGUACACACCGCCCGUCGCACCUACCGAUUGAAUGGUCCGGUGAAAUCUUCGGAUCUGAGAGAUGUUGGAUUAAUUUCUGACGCCUUUUGGAAAAGUUGCUUAAACCUUAUCAUUUAGAGGAAGGUGAAGUCGUAACA